Molecule: ribosomal RNA, 1036 nt
Filed under: Escherichia coli
Lineage: Bacteria; Pseudomonadati; Pseudomonadota; Gammaproteobacteria; Enterobacterales; Enterobacteriaceae
Description: bacterial LSU rRNA
Rfam family: Bacterial large subunit ribosomal RNA
Source: RNAcentral
GUCUGGAAAGGCGCGCGAUACAGGGUGACAGCCCCGUACACAAAAAUGCACAUACUGUGAGCUCGAUGAGUAGGGCGGGACACGUGGUAUCCUGUCUGAAUAUGGGGGGACCAUCCUCCAAGGCUAAAUACUCCUGACUGACCGAUAGUGAACCAGUACCGUGAGGGAAAGGCGAAAAGAACCCCGGCGAGGGGAGUGAAAAAGAACCUGAAACCGUGUACGUACAAGCAGUGGGAGCCUCUUUAUGGGGUGACUGCGUACCUUUUGUAUAAUGGGUCAGCGACUUAUAUUCUGUAGCAAGGUUAACCGAAUAGGGGAGCCGAAGGGAAACCGAGUCUUAACUGGGCGUUAAGUUGCAGGGUAUAGACCCGAAACCCGGUGAUCUAGCCAUGGGCAGGUUGAAGGUUGGGUAACACUAACUGGAGGACCGAACCGACUAAUGUUGAAAAAUUAGCGGAUGACUUGUGGCUGGGGGUGAAAGGCCAAUCAAACCGGGAGAUAGCUGGUUCUCCCCGAAAGCUAUUUAGGUAGCGCCUCGUGAAUUCAUCUCCGGGGGUAGAGCACUGUUUCGGCAAGGGGGUCAUCCCGACUUACCAACCCGAUGCAAACUGCGAAUACCGGAGAAUGUUAUCACGGGAGACACACGGCGGGUGCUAACGUCCGUCGUGAAGAGGGAAACAACCCAGACCGCCAGCUAAGGUCCCAAAGUCAUGGUUAAGUGGGAAACGAUGUGGGAAGGCCCAGACAGCCAGGAUGUUGGCUUAGAAGCAGCCAUCAUUUAAAGAAAGCGUAAUAGCUCACUGGUCGAGUCGGCCUGCGCGGAAGAUGUAACGGGGCUAAACCAUGCACCGAAGCUGCGGCAGCGACGCUUAUGCGUUGUUGGGUAGGGGAGCGUUCUGUAAGCCUGUGAAGGUGUACUGUGAGGUAUGCUGGAGGUAUCAGAAGUGCGAAUGCUGACAUAAGUAACGAUAAAGCGGGUGAAAAGCCCGCUCGCCGGAAGACCAAGGGUUCCUGUCCAACGUUAAUCGGGGCAGGG